Molecule: long non-coding RNA, 466 nt
Organism: Quercus lobata
Lineage: Eukaryota; Viridiplantae; Streptophyta; Magnoliopsida; Fagales; Fagaceae
Exons: 2
Source: RefSeq, a predicted model, not a curated record
GAAUUAUGGGGUGGUGGUGGUGGUGGUGGUGACCACAUGCAAGAUCAUGAUCAUGAGCACCAUGAAACUAUAUUCGUGGGAAGCACAAGAAAGAGAGAAUGCGGACCCAAAUCUUAGCUCUGAGUCCUUGGAAGAAUUGGCUGAGCUCUAUCUUUCUUGAUGAGGCCCAUGCAACUAUAGCCUAUAUCUCAAGGUCCAGUCUGGUCAGAAAGAAAGAAAGCUUAAUGGAUAUUCAUGUUAGGUUGUGACUGCAUCUGAGAACUUGUAAUGGUUCAAAUUUUCAUUCUUCCAUGGUGCAAUUAUAUGUCAUUCUUAUUAUUGAUCUCUGUCCUAACUCGAUCUUUGGAAUCGAUGGACCCACUGCUUGAUGAAUGAAUAUCAUGAAAUGGGUUAUUCAUCAUUGUAUUAAUGGUUUUUUUUUUUUUUUUGGUUGUUGAUAGGAAUUGUAUUAAUGGUUUUUUGUUUU